This 238-nucleotide long non-coding RNA is filed under the name Elaeis guineensis (African oil palm). RNAcentral's name for it is "long non-coding RNA (EGUI_LNC025855)". The record is from RNAcentral. Lineage: Eukaryota; Viridiplantae; Streptophyta; Magnoliopsida; Arecales; Arecaceae.
CGCCUGGGAGUGAGGGCCCCGAGCGGUCUAGCCCCCAUAACCAUCUGUCUUAGAUCUUGAGACCUGAGCACUUUGAGAGGAUUCAUUAUAGGUUCGGAUAUAUGCUAACAGCUACUGGUCCGAUGCGAGCAUCUCCUCACAUGCUUCCGGGAUCAUCAGUCGGGAGCAACUUGAUGAGAUCUUGAUACAGGCAUUUCAGGCUGAAGAGCGCGCAUCUCAGGCUGAAAAGCACGCAUAC